RNAcentral lists this ribosomal RNA (225 nucleotides) under Escherichia coli. Its description in RNAcentral is "partial 16S ribosomal RNA". It matches the Rfam family "Bacterial small subunit ribosomal RNA", at positions 1 to 222 of the family's 1533-position model. Lineage: Bacteria; Pseudomonadati; Pseudomonadota; Gammaproteobacteria; Enterobacterales; Enterobacteriaceae. The record is from RNAcentral.
AAAUUGAAGAGUUUGAUCAUGGCUCAGAUUGAACGCUGGCGGCAGGCCUAACACAUGCAAGUUGAACGGUAACAGGAAGAAGCUUGCUUCUUUGCUGACGAGUGGCGGACGGGUGAGUAAUGUCUGGGAAACUGCCUGAUGGAGGGGGAUAACUACUGGAAACGGUAGCUAAUACCGCAUAACGUCGCAAGACCAAAGAGGGGGACCUUCGGGCCUCUUGCCAUC